AGUUGAGGUAGAGGCGCGAUGUAUCAAGAGUAAGCUCGUGGAGGCGGGGAGGCCGAUGAAACAAGCCAAAAGGGAUUAUCGCCGAAGUAUGGUUUAUCCCAAAGACCAUGCUGGGCCUAUAUCGAAUAGGUAUAGGACUGUCACCGAAGUAAUUCGGUGGAGAGCUACUUCAAGA
Molecule: non-coding RNA, 175 nt
Filed under: Tepidanaerobacter acetatoxydans
Lineage: Bacteria; Bacillati; Bacillota; Clostridia; Thermosediminibacterales; Tepidanaerobacteraceae
Also listed under: 1 other name
Description: Lysine sequence
Rfam family: Lysine riboswitch aptamer
About the family: Riboswitches are metabolite binding domains within certain messenger RNAs that serve as precision sensors for their corresponding targets. Allosteric rearrangement of mRNA structure is mediated by ligand binding, and this results in modulation of gene expression. This family includes riboswitches that sense lysine in a number of genes involved in lysine metabolism, including lysC.
Source: RNAcentral